AUUGAACGCUGGCGGCAUGCUUUACACAUGCAAGUCGAGCGGCAGCGCGGGGGCAACCCUGGCGGCGAGCGGCGAACGGGUGAGUAAUGCAUCGGAACGUGUCCCGUAGUGGGGGAUAACCCGGCGAAAGCCGGGCUAAUACCGCAUAUGCUCUACGGAGGAAAGGGGGGAUCCGCAAGGACCUCUCGCUAUGGGAGCGGCCGAUGUCCGAUUAGCUUGUUGGUGGGGUAAUGGCUUACCAAGGCGACGAUCGGUAGCUGGUCUGAGAGGAUGAUCAGCCACACUGGGACUGAGACACGGCCCAGACUCCUACGGGAGGCAGCAGUGGGGAAUUUUGGACAAUGGGGGCAACCCUGAUCCAGCCAUGCCGCGUGCGGGAAGAA
Molecule: ribosomal RNA, 383 nt
Filed under: uncultured bacterium
Lineage: Bacteria
Description: bacterial SSU rRNA
Rfam family: Bacterial small subunit ribosomal RNA
Source: RNAcentral